Molecule: ribosomal RNA, 490 nt
Filed under: uncultured bacterium
Lineage: Bacteria
Description: partial 16S ribosomal RNA
Rfam family: Bacterial small subunit ribosomal RNA
Source: RNAcentral
AUUGAACGCUGGCGGCAGGCCUAACACAUGCAAGUCGAAUGGUAACAGGAAACAGCUUGCUGUUUCGCUGACGAGUGGCGGACGGGUGAGUAAUGUCUGGGAAACUGCCUGAUGGAGGGGGAUAACUACUGGAAACGGUAGCUAAUACCGCAUAACGUCGCAAGACCAAAGAGGGGGACCUUCGGGCCUCUUGCCAUCAGAUGUGCCCAGAUGGGAUUAGCUAGUAGGUGGGGUAACGGCUCACCUAGGCGACGAUCCCUAGCUGGUCUGAGAGGAUGACCAGCCACACUGGAACUGAGACACGGUCCAGACUCCUACGGGAGGCAGCAGUGGGGAAUAUGGCACAAUGGGCGCAAGCCUGAUGCAGCCAUGCCGCGUGUAUGAAGAAGGCCUUCGGGUUGUAAAGUACUUUCAGCGGGGAGGAAGGGAGUAAAGUUAAUACCUUUGCUCAUUGACGUUACCCGCAGAAGAAGCACCGGCUAACUCCGUG